Long non-coding RNA from Ictalurus punctatus (channel catfish), 2029 nucleotides. RefSeq lists it as uncharacterized. NCBI's taxonomy places the organism in Eukaryota, Metazoa, Chordata, Actinopteri, Siluriformes, Ictaluridae. The transcript has 4 exons. The record is from RefSeq and is a predicted model, not a curated record.
UGAAAGCGCGCGCUGGGAAGCGCGCGGUAUAUAUGCGGACCUGAUUAGCGUGUAAACUGCUAUCAGCUGGGAGCAAUACAGACCCACGUGAAUUCCCAGCCAAUGACGGAAACACACGUGUCCCAAUGUCACUACGGUCAACAGCGGAAAAGCAGGUGCUCGCGCAUUCGCGCUUAGAGCACGCUGCUUCAAGGGGGAAUCGUGACAACCCCGUUGUUGAUGAUUUUACGAUAACAUUCUUGUGCGUGUGUGUUGACGAGAGAGUCAGCUGCCGGGAUGCCCAUGGGAACCCAUUGGGGAAAGUGCAGUACAGGGAUAUGGACGUGAUAGACGUGAUAUGGACGUGAUAGCUGAUGAAGUACUGGAGAUCUCCUGCAGGAGAAAAAAGAAGUGCAGAUCUGGGUUUAUAAGGUGGAGUUUCAUGUAAAUGAGGGGGCUUUAGCGUCACCAUUGGUCCAUUACAGCUCCUCUUCUAGCCAAUCAAUCGAAGAGGGGAGGUGACGUCACUCCACUGCGACUCAUGGCUGUGUUGACAGGUGAAGAAAGAUGGAUGACCGUCAGGCAGCAAAUCCCGGACAAUUACAGGCAGUGCUUUUAGAGAGGCUUUUAUCACGACUACAGGAAGCCAUGCAGCGCGUGCCUCUGGACCUGGAUUAUUUAUAUUUUUUCUGCACAAAUAGCAUGAUAUUGAUUAGUGCACACACAAAUCAUGAACAUAUGGCUCAAGGGGUAGUGCAAUGUCUUUCAAACCUGUGUUCUGUUCUUUUUAAUCGACUUUCCUCAUCAGUUGUGAAUGAAAUGGCUGGACCAACGGGACGUCCCAAACUCGGUGUGUCUGAGCAGCAACUUAGACAAUUGACUGAAAUUGGACUGAGUGUACACUUCAUUUCAAAACUGUUUUCCAUGUCAUCACGAACAGUUGAACGGAGAAUGCAAGAGUUUGGGUUGGGUCUCCAACCUUUUUGUGAGCGAGUGCUGUCUGAAGGGAUCAAAUAGUCUAAAGGGAUACUUUUUUUUUCCCAUUAUUUAACCGGAAAAUAAGAAAAGUGAAAUGUUAGAACGUAUUAAAUUGUUAAGUAUAACUUGAAUCAUUUUAAAAAUGAUAAAUUAAUUUGGCUCAAGUUUAAAGUUUACUUAAAUGCAUUUUAGUGUAAGUUUAUCUGUUCCAAUAUUUUUGCUCACCCACCAAAUUUUUUUUUUUUUUAAAUAGUGAUGCCAAAAUGUGUCUGAGGCCCUCUAGUGGCUGCCUGCAGCACAAUUUUUACCUCAGCACAUCCUCAUGUUAGGGAAUGGGACAGUUGGUAAUCAUAAAAUUUUAAGUUGUCAUGUCCACAAGUUAUUUUCCGGAAUAGUGUUCUGUCACGCUCAGUUGACCUUGAUACCCGAUACAAUUUUUGAUCCUCUUUUUUCCCUCAGCAGCUAUAUUAGAAUUAGCACAUUAAUAUAAACCUGUGAUUUAUCUCACAGCUAAACUACUGUUAGAGCUGUUGUUAUAGAAAAUUCAUUAUCCUCAUGAAUUUAACAUAAAAUAUUUCAGUUGGAUUUGAAAAAUCAACACUGUGGAGCUUUGAUAUUAGGCACUGAACUGAUAAGAAAGGAGAAUGAAGAUGAAAGGAGACUACAAGACCGUUCCUGUCUCUGAGCAGGCCGUCAACAAUCAGCUGGCUUUAGCUGAAAUAGCUGGAGAGUCAGCAACAUUGUGAAUCAGACUAAGCAGUAUGCUGAACCCUGUUUGUGUCACAGAGCCGCUAAUAAACUUGCACUUAAGUGUUAGCAGAAGUCGCUUUGUUUUAUUUAAUGAAGGGCAAUGGCUUUUUUACCAGAUUACUACUGCAGCCUCAGUGAAUUUCUGAACGACAAUAACCCAUGCAACCCAUGCAAGUAAACAUUUAUGUCCCAUUACUUUUGGUAUCUGAAUCCGUGAUCUCCGUGAUCAUCUAAAUAAAAACAAUGAUGUUUAUUCAGUGUGCACAUGAACUGGUUAACUCCCCAUUACUUAUUAUUAUUAUUAUUAUUAUUAUUAUUAUUA